GUAAAGUAGGAUUAAAUCCUUUAUCCCACCAUUUGGUAAAAAAUAUCCUUUUAAGACGGGGAAUUUUAUUCUGAUAGAUCUGAUGAUUGGGGAAUGUGAAGAGAGGGAUAGAGAGAUUGAAUACUGCAUUUUUAGAGAGAGAAAAUGGAAGGGAGUUAUGGUUUUAGAGAGACAAAUUGGAGAGACGGGGAAGGUUUAAGGCUGUUCAGG
This 210-nucleotide long non-coding RNA is filed under the name Panax ginseng (ginseng). RNAcentral describes it as "long non-coding RNA (PGIN_LNC003215)". The record is from RNAcentral. Lineage: Eukaryota; Viridiplantae; Streptophyta; Magnoliopsida; Apiales; Araliaceae.